RNAcentral lists this ribosomal RNA (569 nucleotides) under uncultured archaeon. Its description in RNAcentral is "bacterial SSU rRNA". It matches the Rfam family "Archaeal small subunit ribosomal RNA", at positions 319 to 893 of the family's 1478-position model. The record is from RNAcentral.
GAUUCGGGGUGCACCAGGCGCGAAACCUUUGCAAUACACGAAAGUGUGACAGGGCUAUCCCGAGUGCCAUCCGCUGAGGAAGGCUUUUACCCAGUCUAGAACGCUGGGGGAAUAAGGAGAGGGCAAGUCUGGUGUCAGCCGCCGCGGUAAUACCAGCUCUCCGAGUGGUGUGGAUGUUUAUUGGGCCUAAAGCAUCCGUAGCUGGCUAGGUAAGUCCCUUGUUAAAUCCACCGAAUUAAUCGUUGGAUCGCGGGGGAUACUGCUUGGCUAGGGGACGAGAGAGGCAGACGGUAUUUUCGGGGUAGGGGUGAGAUCCUAUAAUCCCGGGAAGACCACCAGUGGCGAAGGCUGUCUGCUAGAACGCGCCCGACGGUGAGGGAUGAAAGCUGGGGGAGCGAACCGGAUUAGAUACCCGGGUAGUCCCAGCUGUAAACGAUGCAGACUAGGUGUUUGGACGGCCACGUGCCGUUCUAGUGCCGCAGGGAAGCUGUUAAGUCUGCCGCCUGGGGAGUACGAUCGCAAGAUUGAAACUUAAAGGAAUUGGCGGGGGAGCACAAUCACUAGUGAAU